CAGCAAUUUCUUUCAGUUAGCAGUCGAUCAAGUGGCCCAACGUGAAAGUACUGAUAUGAAGCUCACGUUGCUUGUCCGGGAGACAGGGGGAAAGAGGCAACAGGUGAGCUUAAAUAUGGUGCAUGCAUAGCAGCAUGUAAUGUGGAAAACAAAAAUGAACACAAAAAUGCAAGAUUAACACAAAAUGAAAGUGUGCUUUUAAGAAAUAACUACAAAGAGCUUCAUAUAAAAGAGAGCAGUCUCUCUCAGGCUCCUUCAGUGUUCAUUUCGCUCUUGUGAAGGGAUGCUGGAGAACCUAGACCAGUUUGUCUGUUCACUUGUCUGUUCAUCUGGCAUUCAAUGAGAUAAAGAUUUAUGGUCCCAGUGACUGAAAAACAAUAGUCCCUAAAGUAAAACCAAAGGCACAUUUUGAAGGUUGUCAUGGUCCUGGGCCAUGUGGGCCCAGCAUUCUUAGUUUUCAUGUAUUUUUGUAUUUUGUUCUUUAUUUAGGCCAUGCUUCCUGGGUUGAUCUGUUACGUUGUUCCUUAUGUGUUUUCCCUUCGUGACUCUUACCCCCUGUGUGCCCCUCUGUGUAUUUAUGAGCCCUCGUCUCCCUUUGUGGUUGUUUCAUGUUUCCCCAGCCCGUUAUGUCUGUGUUUUUCCCCGUGCUCUCUCUCCUCCUGUCUGAACCUCUGUGCCUGUACAUGUCAUGUUCAGUUCACCCAGCCCUGUCUCGUUAUGAUUAUCAGUGUCACCUGUGUUCCCCGUGUGUGCCCACUUUCCUCGUUUACCCUCUGUGUAUUUCUGUCUGAGUCUCCCUCUGUUCGGUGUCGUGUUCUCCCUCAUGCUGUGUGUGAUUCCCCUGUGUUCCUUGGUGAGCUUUAUGUUAGUUUUUCCCAGUUUAGUUUUGUAUUGUUUCUCGUGGCCAGCAAUAAAGCUGUGUUUUUGAGUUCACCCCCGUGUCGUACUACGGUGUACAUUUUAGGACAUCGUCAGGUAUCAGACAAAAAAUUGUCAGGUGUCAGUUGUCAAAAAAAAAAGUUGUCAGGUAUCAGAAAAAAAAUUGUCAGGUGUCAGAAAAAAAAUUGUCAGGUGUCAGUUGUCAAAAAAAAAAAAAGUCAGGUAUCAGAAAAAAAAUUGUCAGGUGUCAGAAAAAAAGUUGUCAGGUGUCAGAAAAAAAAUUGUCAGGUGUCAGUUGUCCAAAAAAAAAAAAGUCAGGUAUCAGAAAAAAAAUUGUCAGGUGUCAGAAAAAAAGUUGUCAGGUGUCAGACAAAAAAUUGUCAGGUGUCAGUUGUCAAAAAAAAAAAAGUCAGGUAUCAGAAAAAAAAUUGUCAGGUGUCAGAAAAAAAGUUGUCAGGUGUCAGAAAAAAAGUUGUCAGGUGUCAGAAAAAAAAUUGUCAGGUGUCAGUUGUCCAAAAAAAAAAAAGUCAGGUAUCAGAAAAGAAAUUGUCAGGUGUCAGAAAAAAAGUUGUCAGGUGUCAGAAAAAAAGUUGUCAGGUGUCAGAAAAAAAAUUGUCAGGUAUCAGAACACAAGGUACCAGAGAGAAAAUCUUCCUGCAGGUGGCGCUGUUGUCAUGUCCCACCCGAAUUGAUUUCCAAAUACGUCAUCAACGUGUGACCGUGGGAGAGCGUAAGGUCAUUGACCUCACCGGAGUUUUACCGUGGUUCAGGCUCCUAACGACACAAGGUAAGUUUAACUUUUUCUCCCUUUUGUUCAUAUUUUUGCCACAGUUGUGUUAUAUUAAGUUGCAGUUAUGUUGUGAAAGUUACAUAUCAGAGACGGAAAGCCAGUUUUGUACGAAACCAAAUCAGUACUAUUUUUGUCUGGCUAAUUCAUUCUAGCUAGCGACAGUGGUGAAACGUGAUUCAAAUUUAAACUGUUCAGUAAUUGUUUUGUAUACAUUUCAGCAAAUGGACAAGCUGAAAGCUUACGAGCAGCCUGCAUCCUUUCUGUCGCUCUUUUUCUUUAUUUCUCUUUUCUAUAUUGCUACUGUCGGGAUAUUUUUUGAUCCCGAUUUUUUUUUCUGUUAUUGUUUUUAGACUUUGCUGCAAUAUGUCAUCUGACGAUGAUGAAAGGAGUAUCCGACUCUGGCUGGUUCCCAUGACUGUACCAAAAAUACUUUUUUUUUUAUUAAAAAAAGAGCAUUAAAAAUAAAUGACUAAAGUACAACUUAUUUAUUAACUACUGUUCACCUAUUUAAUAUCAAAGAAGUGUAUUUUUUGCUACACGUUUUAUUUGUGGGCACUGAAUUGACGAUGCUUUUAGUGUAAUUGCCACAUAAAAAGAUUUAGUACUUUACUGGUUAAUUACUUAUGUUCAGUGUAAGAGGUGGGUGAUCAAUUAGACUGUUGUUGUUACACUUAACCUUUCAAGAUAUGAUGAUAAUAACAUUGUUCAACAAAGGCUUAAAACAAAAGGAAAUCAGCUGUGCACUGAAUUCAUAUGGGCAUAAAAUAAGUGAGAGGCAUCUGAGACGAGUUUUAAAACUUCUAGGGUUGAAGCGAAGAUGCCCCCAACGACCUUUUACUGAAAUC
Long non-coding RNA from Astatotilapia calliptera (eastern happy), 2514 nucleotides. Lineage: Eukaryota; Metazoa; Chordata; Actinopteri; Cichliformes; Cichlidae. The record is from Ensembl.